UACAGAGGUGCCGAGCGUUAGGCGGAAUCACUGGGCUUAAAGCGUGUGUAGGCGGACGUCUAAGUACCUUGUGAAAUCCCACGGCUUACCCGUGGAACUGCUGGGUAUACUGGUUGUCUUGAGCUUUCUAGGGGCGAGCGGAACAAAUGGUGGAGCGGUGAAAUGCGUAGAUAUCAUUUGGAACGCCAAUGGUGAAAACAGCUCGCUGGGGAAAUGCUGACGCUGAGACACGAAAGCCAGGGGAGCGAACGGG
RNAcentral lists this ribosomal RNA (253 nucleotides) under uncultured bacterium. RNAcentral's name for it is "partial 16S ribosomal RNA". It matches the Rfam family "Bacterial small subunit ribosomal RNA", at positions 524 to 776 of the family's 1533-position model. The record is from RNAcentral.